UCAAUAUUCAUAUAUCUUCUUCUCCUGCAUGGCUGUUGUUUCUCGAAAGAGGGUGCUGCAACUGUUGGACCGUUUUGACGACAGUGACAUCUCAUAUGUCCAUUCAAUGCUUUGUUAGAAGUAAAAACCUUGUUGCAAACAUCACAUGAGUGUUUCUUCUGUUUUACCACAUCAUUAUGAUUAUGAGCAACAGAAUAAGAAAAACGCCAUAUGAUC
RNAcentral lists this long non-coding RNA (216 nucleotides) under Medicago truncatula (barrel medic). RNAcentral describes it as "long non-coding RNA (MTRU_LNC006455)". Lineage: Eukaryota; Viridiplantae; Streptophyta; Magnoliopsida; Fabales; Fabaceae. The record is from RNAcentral.